This 301-nucleotide ribosomal RNA is filed under the name uncultured bacterium. Its description in RNAcentral is "partial 16S ribosomal RNA". It matches the Rfam family "Bacterial small subunit ribosomal RNA", at positions 509 to 807 of the family's 1533-position model. The record is from RNAcentral.
CAGUAGCCGCGGUAAUACGUAGGUGGCAAGCGUUGUCCGGAAUUAUUGGGCGUAAAGGGCUCGCAGGCGGUUUCUUAAGUCUGAUGUGAAAGCCCCCGGCUCAACCGGGGAGGGUCAUUGGAAGCUGGGAAACUUGAGUGCAGAAGAGGAGAGUGGAAUUCCACGUGUAGCGGUGAAAUGCGUAGAGAUGUGGAGGAGCACCAGUGGCGAAGGCGACUCUCUGGUCUAUAACUGACGCUGAGGAGCGAAAGCGUGGGGAGCGAACAGGAUUAGAUACCCGAGUAGUCCCUGUCUCUUAUAC